Molecule: non-coding RNA, 28 nt
Filed under: Cricetulus griseus (Chinese hamster)
Lineage: Eukaryota; Metazoa; Chordata; Mammalia; Rodentia; Cricetidae
Source: RNAcentral
CCAAAUGGCUAUGGGAGGUAAGGACUUA